GGAGGAAAAGAAACCAACAGGGAUUGCCUCAGUAACGGCGAGUGAAGCGGCAACAGCUCAAAUUUUAAAGCUGGCGUCUUUGGCGUCCGCAUUGUAAUUUGGAGAGGCAUCUUCGGUUUGGGCGCCAGCCUAUGUUCCUUGGAACAGGACGUCACAGAGGGUGAGAAUCCCGUGCUUGGCCGGCUGUCCCAUUCCAUGUGAAGUGUCUUCGACGAGUCGAGUUGUUUGGGAAUGCAGCUCAAAAUGGGUGGUAAAUUUCAUCUAAAGCUAAAUAUUGGUGGGAGACCGAUAGCGCACAAGUAGAGUGAUCGAAAGAUGAAAAGCACUUUGAAAAUAGAGUUAAAAAGUACGUGAAAUUGUUGAAAGGGAAGCGCUUGAGACCAGACUCGGCCGGGGAUGAUCAGCUGUCCUUCUGGGCAGUGCACUUGUCUCUGGUCGGGCCAGCAUCGGUUGAGACGGCGGGACAAAGGCUUCGGGAACGUGGCUCCUUUCGGGGAGUGUUAUAGCCCGUCGCGUAAUGCCGCCAGCCUCGACCGAGGACCGCGCUUCGGCUAGGAUGCUGGCGUAAUGGUCUUCAGCGACCCGUC
This 587-nucleotide ribosomal RNA is filed under the name Disciotis venosa. RNAcentral's name for it is "eukaryotic LSU rRNA". It matches the Rfam family "Eukaryotic large subunit ribosomal RNA", at positions 52 to 653 of the family's 3401-position model. Lineage: Eukaryota; Fungi; Ascomycota; Pezizomycetes; Pezizales; Morchellaceae. The record is from RNAcentral.